RNAcentral lists this unclassified non-coding RNA (322 nucleotides) under Hevea brasiliensis (rubber tree). Lineage: Eukaryota; Viridiplantae; Streptophyta; Magnoliopsida; Malpighiales; Euphorbiaceae. The record is from RNAcentral.
AAACGGAAGCCUCUGGAUCAUCAUUAUUGGAAUUCUCAGUCUGGGAAAUCAAGAGAUGGACUCCGAAAUCACUUAUUUUGCUGACAAAUUUAGCAUCAAGGAGAAUGUUGGUAGGUCUCAAGUUCCCAUGGACAAUACAAGGAUCGUUGGCAUGAACAAAGAUAAGAGCAGAGCAUAUCUCGACAGCAAUUCUUAUCCGAUGUUGCCAAUGAAGAGGACGAGAUUUUUUGCGGCAGGCCAGGUGAUCUUCAAGGUUUCCAUUUUCAAGGAAUUCAUAAGCAAGGGACCUAGACUCUGAGCAAAUCCCAAUCAGUGUAACAAG